UACGGAGGGUGCAAGCGUUGUCCGGAUUUAUUGGGUUUAAAGGGUGCGUAGGCGGUUCUGUAAGUCAGUGGUGAAAUCCGGCAGCUCAACUGUCGAUGUGCCAUUGAUACUGCAGAACUUGAGUACAGACGAGGUAGGCGGAAUUGACGGUGUAGCGGUGAAAUGCUUAGAUAUCGUCAAGAACACCGAUAGCGAAGGCAGCUUACUAGACUGUAACUGACGCUGAUGCACGAAAGUGUGGGGAUCAAACAGG
This 253-nucleotide ribosomal RNA is filed under the name uncultured bacterium. Its description in RNAcentral is "partial 16S ribosomal RNA". It matches the Rfam family "Bacterial small subunit ribosomal RNA", at positions 524 to 776 of the family's 1533-position model. The record is from RNAcentral.